This 820-nucleotide ribosomal RNA is filed under the name uncultured bacterium. RNAcentral's name for it is "bacterial SSU rRNA". It matches the Rfam family "Bacterial small subunit ribosomal RNA", at positions 51 to 876 of the family's 1533-position model. The record is from RNAcentral.
ACACAUGCAAGUCAAACGGGAAUUAGCGAAUAGUUUACUAUUAGCUAAUUUUAGUGGCGGACGGGUGAGUAACGCGUGGAUAACCUGCCCAUUAGCUUGGGAUAACGCCUGGAAACGGGUGCUAAUACCGGAUACGCUCAUUUUAUUGCAUAGUAGAAUGAGGAAAGGGCAACCGCUAAUGGAURGGUCCGCGUCCCAUUAGCUUGUUGGUAGGGUAACGGCCUACCAAGGCGACGAUGGGUAGCCGGCCUGAGAGGGUGAUCGGCCACACUGGAACUGAGACACGGUCCAGACUCCUACGGGAGGCAGCAGUGGGGAAUCUUCCGCAAUGGGCGCAAGCCUGACGGAGCAACGCCGCGUGAGUGAAGAAGGUUUUCGGAUUGUAAAACUCUGUCCAAGGGGAAGAAACAAAUGACGGUACCCUUGGAGGAAGCCCCGGCUAACUACGUGCCAGCAGCCGCGGUAAAACGUAGGGGGCGAGCGUUGUCCGGAAUUACUGGGCGUAAAGGGCGUGUAGGCGGCAAAUCAAGUCAGGAGUGAAACCCGCCGGCUUAACCGGCGGCCUGCUUCUGAAACUGAUUAGCUUGAGUGCAGGAGAGGGAAGUGGAAUUCCCAGUGUAGCGGUGAAAUGCGUAGAUAUUGGGAGGAACACCAGUGGCGAAAGCGGCUUCCUGGCCUGUAACUGACGCUGAGGCGCGAAAGCGUGGGUAGCAAACAGGAUUAGAUACCCUGGUAGUCCACGCCGUAAACGAUGGGUGCUAGGUGUUGGSGGUAUCGACCCCUCCAGUGCCGCAGUUAACGCAAUAAGCACCCCGCCUGG